This 3099-nucleotide long non-coding RNA is filed under the name Nicotiana benthamiana. Its description in RNAcentral is "long non-coding RNA (NBEN_LNC017394)". Lineage: Eukaryota; Viridiplantae; Streptophyta; Magnoliopsida; Solanales; Solanaceae. The record is from RNAcentral.
GGAAUGAUUCAUAUAGGGAAAAAUCAUGUUCUCACAGUUUCCCUCUUUGCUCAGAAACAUGAAAGGUUUUCGGGCAAAGAUAAGCAAGCAAAUACGAGCGACUUUUGCCCGUUUGAAAAUUCCGUUGUGAAGCACUUUGAAAAGUUUUGACCGCACCCUGGUUCAGAGGUUGCCUACAUAUCCUGGGCUAAGCAGGAAUCAGGUCAGUGUAGUUUGGGAGUGUUUGGCAACUGGGACUACUAGGAGCUGUGAUUUCACUGCGAUUGUUGCCGCUACAGCUUGCUGACCUCCCCUAUUACAUCAUGUCAAAGAUAAAAAACAAAAAAAGCCAAGCCAUAAACUAUGAAUUACAAAAGACCUAUCUAAAAAUCUUCAAACUUGCUCUUUCACUUCAUUGUUGUCUUGUAUUCUCUCUUGUUGCCUUGUAUUUUCUUUGGUGAAACUCAUUGUUGUUACUUCAAAUCAUGCACCGAGAUGUUGUUCUUUCCCUCCAAAUUGUUGAACAUGAUUAAACUGAACUUGAAUGUAUUCCUCUGUUCUUCAGGCGGGCUCCUGACUUCACAAAAAUAGACAAAAAUAAAGAAAGCUUUCUUCCCCAUUUUGGAAAACUGGGUGCGUAUUACCAUAUAUUAUCAAAAAUUGAAAACUAAAACUUGAAUUGUGAUAAGACUGAAAGACGACUUUAAAAACUGAAAUGUACCUUAAAAUUUGAAAUUUAUCUUAGGAGAAAGAUUCAACAGACUAAAACUUUUCCAUUUUUGAUCUUAGAUAAAAAAUUCAUUAGACUAAGAUUUUCUUCUUAGGAGAUAGAUUCAACAGACUAAGACUUUUCCAUUUUUAUCUUAGGUUAAAAAUUCAUCAGACUAUGAUUUUCAUCUUAGGAGAAAGAUUCAACAGACUAAGAUUUUGACAUUAGGAGAUGAUUCAUCAGACUAGGUCCAUUUGUGUAUGAUCCCUACUUUCUUAAUUUUCCAAAUUCCAACUUCCUUUCUUUUCAAAUUCUGCCUUCUUUUCUUGUUUCCAAAUUACGCCUUCCUUUAUUUUUCCCUAUUUCUGCCUUCCCCUUCUUUAAAUUAUUCCUUCCUUUCUUUUUCCUUAAAUCGUGCCUUCCCUUCUUUCCCAAAUUAUGCCUUUAUCAUAGGUGAAAAAUUCAGCAAACUAAGAUUUCUUUAUCUUAAGUGAAAAUUCAACAGACCAAGAUUAUUAUCUUAGAUGAAAGAUUCAACACACUAAGAUUCUUCAUCUUAGUUGAAAAAUUCAUCAGACUAAGAUUUUUCUUUCAGUUAACCAUUUCCUCCGAACUUGUUUUAACUACCCUCUAACUUGAAUAUCCCCCUUCAGAACCACUCUCCUAAGAACUGGUGCUUCAUUUCUCCGAAAAUUACUUUUCUUAAAACUGGUGUUUCUUUUUUGAAAACUAUUUCCCUCUCUUUUUUUCUCUUUUUUUUAAAACUUGUAUUGACCUCAUGCUUUUUGAAUGGGUACCCGACUUCAAAAACAAUUUUCAAAACGGCAGAAACUUUUCUGCCCCUGCAUAUCUUUCCACCAUCAAUAAUAUUUCCAUGCCCUAUUUCAAAUCAAAGAAAAUUUUGUCAGUUUAAAGUGUGGUGGUUGGUUGUGGUACUUCCGCUAGAGAUGGAUUUCCCUUUUCUCCUUUCCAUGCUAUGUGUUGUACGACCAUCUUUGGAAUGUUUCUUUCUUGGUGAAUCCUUAUUCACAAACUUCCACAUUUUACUCUUCCUAUCGGCUAUGAAUCCCAAAGCACGUCUGUUUCUCCCACAGGAUGUUGUUCUUUCUUGGCCUAUCUGAUGGCCUUGGCCCUGAGGUUUGCUCCCUUACUUGUCAUGAUAACUUUCUUUUAAUUUGAAGACCCCCGCUCGUUUCUUGCCUAAUAACUCCAUUUGCCAUCCUUGGCUUCAAACAUAUCUCUUCUGCAUUCAAACCCUAUACCUUCUGUUUAUUACAUUGCUCCUGGAUUGAUUUUUAACCAACCCUUGUGCCUCACCCUAAAGCAUGUUGAUUUCCCCCUACAGCAUGUUGUUCUUUAAAAUGCACCCCUUGUCUCCUGACCUUGAAGUCUAUUGCUCCUUUCAUUCGACCUUUGUCACAAAAUACCUAUUCUUCGUUAAAACCCAAUACUCUCAAUCUGUUGCAUUGCUCAUGACCUGACAUCUACCAAACCUUUAUGUUUCACCAGGAUCCCCCAACACAUGUUGAUUAUUACUAACUCAAUGCUCUUGUUGUUUUCUUGACUUGUGACACUUUGAUAUGCUAGCAGAUCUUGUCUUCUGCGAUUAGAAAGCUAGUGGCAAAUUUUGAAGUCAUUUCUCACUUGUUUUGACCAAACAGACUCGGGAAGAGAGAGUAAACAAAACGAAGGAACAGAGUAAAUGACGAUAGAAAGAGAUGAAUCCUAACAAGAAAACUAUAAGAUAGAAACCUAUCUGAUGUGGAUACCCACUCAUAUGACCUUGACAUGCACCUGCGGCCUAUUCCGACAAUCAAACUUGAUGUUCAGCUCUUGUUGUACCUUUUCGCUAUGAAACUGGGCUUCAAUGCUCCACCUAUCCAAUUUGAUUUGCAUUCCUUAUCCGGCCUGUAGUGCCAAAGAUUUUUACCAUCAAGCCUCUCUCAUUUUGUUCUUUCUCUCAACUUACCGUUGCCUCAAGGUGAUUGUGAAGGUUUUCACCAAUAAGACUCUCUCAUUUUAUUUUCUCUCAACUUUCAUCACCUUGUUUGGACCGGAUUGUUACCCCUGACAUGAAUUACCUUACCUUCUUGACUAGGCAUUUCUCAAAGACUGACCAAAAGGUCUUUCUUUGGACCGUAAUAUAGGCUUUUGGAUGGGUUAGAAAGAAAUGGUAUAAAAAGGCUCAAAACAAUUUCAAAAUGGGUUAAAAUACAACUUUCGGAAUCCAAUUUCUCAAAACAACUACAACUUCUGCCCCAGUUUCUUGCUUGGGGGCUUUGGAUUUUAUUUUGGUAUGACUGAACCUCAGAGAGGCUGCCUACGUACCCUUUCGGGAUCAAGUCAAACGUAGUUCACGUCAUAGAAACUAUGUUGUUGUGAUUUUCUUUCUAUCUUUUUUCUGUUUUUUC